GACGAACGCUGGCGGCGUGCUUAACACAUGCAAGUCGAACGGAAAGGCCCUGCUUUUGUGGGGUGCUCGAGUGGCGAACGGGUGAGUAACACGUGAGUAACCUGCCCUUGACUUUGGGAUAACUUCAGGAAACUGGGGCUAAUACCGGAUAGGAGCUCCUGCUGCAUGGUGGGGGUUGGAAAGUUUCGGCGGUUGGGGAUGGACUCGCGGCUUAUCAGCUUGUUGGUGGGGUAGUGGCUUACCAAGGCUUUGACGGGUGGCCGGCCUGAGAGGGUGACCGGCCACAUUGGGACUGAGAUACGGCCCAGACUCCUACGGGAGGCAGCAGUGGGGAAUAUUGCACAAUGGGCGGAAGCCUGAUGCAGCAACGCCGCGUGCGGGAUGACGGCCUUCGGGUUGUAAACCGCUUUCGCCUGUGACGAAGCGUGAGUGACGGUAAUGGGUAAAGAAGCGCCGGCUAACUACGUG
RNAcentral lists this ribosomal RNA (468 nucleotides) under uncultured bacterium. RNAcentral describes it as "partial 16S ribosomal RNA". It matches the Rfam family "Bacterial small subunit ribosomal RNA", at positions 28 to 507 of the family's 1533-position model. The record is from RNAcentral.